UUGAUGUUUUUCAUAUUCUUAAUUUUUUAUAUGUUUUAUGUUUCCUGCAGUGAAUGUUAUGAUGUCUCAGAGGGAUGUUGUCAUGUUGACCUUAACCUUAAUUGCAAUAAGGUGAUUCCAGUACCGAUGACGAGCUCAAUUUCAGCGUAGCAUCAGGCUAUACAAUGCCAUGUUUGCGUUUACCAUCCUAAUAAGUGGACAUCAGUCUGCCACGUUAUUGUUUCCCACGUGCACUCACACGCACACAAAACCUACACACACAGAUUGUUUACCUCGAAGCUGCAGAGCAUAGAAGCGAAUGCAAGGCUUCUCCAGGAAGAUUUUUCUGCGCCGGCUACAAGUACAACCCAGCACCUGCAAUUGGAUGAUCAAGAUUCCACCAGACUAUGGCAGUUGUUUACUUCCGAAGAUAUAAUCCAAGGUUACAAACAAAAGAGUGUUAGAAAGCGCAAGAAAUAUGGAGAGAAAGAAUAUCUCUGGAAAUUCGGCUAAUAGAUUUAGUUAUCCUCUUUCUCCGCUAUCUCCUCCUAACAGUGCAAAUACAUCAUACCCAACACAUGCAAUUCCUGGGACUGUUAAUCAAGGCAUCUCCAGUUUAUCAGUUGGAGAAGAGUUCUUUUACCAGGACUCCACCAGCACGUGCAAGUCCUGGGACUUUUAAUCAAGGCAUCUCCAGUUGUGCGGAGUGGAGUGUUUCACAUAAGAAUUUUAUGAGCAGAGCAGAUUCAGAUGCCAUAGGAAAAUUAUUUCUGCUAUAUGAGAAUUUAAUUCGUUAAUUGAAAAAUUAAAGAGACCACACAAGAUUCCAUUAACUACUUGAUAAUCUUAGUAUUGAAUUAAGCUUUGUUAUAUUAAGCUUUGUUAUAUUAUCAGGGAAUUAAUAAGCACAAGACUUUUUCGUAUUGUGCUUAUUAAUUCUUAUGAUUUAGACAUUUAUAUUCUUAAAAAUCAUAAUUAUGUGGUUA
Molecule: RNA transcript, 965 nt
Organism: Daucus carota subsp. sativus
Lineage: Eukaryota; Viridiplantae; Streptophyta; Magnoliopsida; Apiales; Apiaceae
Gene name: late embryogenesis abundant protein Dc3-like
Exons: 6
Source: RefSeq, a predicted model, not a curated record